Molecule: transfer RNA, 86 nt
Filed under: Pseudomonadota bacterium
Lineage: Bacteria; Pseudomonadati; Pseudomonadota
Also listed under: 3 other names
Description: tRNA-Leu
Rfam family: tRNA
About the family: Transfer RNA (tRNA) molecules are approximately 80 nucleotides in length. Their secondary structure includes four short double-helical elements and three loops (D, anti-codon, and T loops). Further hydrogen bonds mediate the characteristic L-shaped molecular structure. tRNAs have two regions of fundamental functional importance: the anti-codon, which is responsible for specific mRNA codon recognition, and the 3' end, to which the tRNAs corresponding amino acid is attached (by aminoacyl-tRNA synthetases). tRNAs cope with the degeneracy of the genetic code in two manners: having more than one tRNA (with a specific anti-codon) for a particular amino acid; and 'wobble' base-pairing, i.e. permitting non-standard base-pairing at the 3rd anti-codon position.
Source: RNAcentral
GCGGGGGUCGCCUAGCCUGGUCAAUGGCGCCAGCUUGAGGUGCUGGUGGCUUAGUGCCUUCGUGGGUUCAAAUCCCACCCCCCGCA